Molecule: long non-coding RNA, 229 nt
Organism: Archocentrus centrarchus (flier cichlid)
Lineage: Eukaryota; Metazoa; Chordata; Actinopteri; Cichliformes; Cichlidae
Exons: 2
Source: RefSeq, a predicted model, not a curated record
GAGGGAGUCCCUCCCUCUAAAACCACUCUGUGUGGGGAACAUGAGAGCCAGACCAAAGCUCAGAGGAACCAACCUGAACCUGAACCUGAACCUGAACCCAGCUGUGUGUCUUUAAAGAGCGAUUGAGGAAGCUGGUAUAAAGUUUAGCAAAGUGUAAACUGUAUCUAAAUGUUGUAAUUGACUCAGUUUGAACAGUUUUCUGAAUAAAUGUUCAACUUUUUUAAUGUCA